CUUCCUCGUCUGUCUGCCCC
This 20-nucleotide microRNA is filed under the name Homo sapiens (human). RNAcentral describes it as "hsa-miR-1238-3p". The record is from miRBase by way of RNAcentral. Lineage: Eukaryota; Metazoa; Chordata; Mammalia; Primates; Hominidae.